AUACUUACCUGGCAGGGGAGAUACCAUGAUCACGAAGGUGGUUUUCCCAGGGCGAGGCUUAUCCAUUGCACUCCGGAUGUGCUGACCCCUGCGAUUUCCCCAAAUGUGGGAAACUCGACUGCAUAAUUUGUGGU
This 134-nucleotide small nuclear RNA is filed under the name Moschus moschiferus (Siberian musk deer). Its description in RNAcentral is "U1 spliceosomal RNA (ENSMMSG00000005388.1)". It matches the Rfam family "U1 spliceosomal RNA", at positions 1 to 135 of the family's 166-position model. From Rfam's summary of the family: U1 is a small nuclear RNA (snRNA) component of the spliceosome (involved in pre-mRNA splicing). Its 5' end forms complementary base pairs with the 5' splice junction, thus defining the 5' donor site of an intron. The record is from Rfam by way of RNAcentral. Lineage: Eukaryota; Metazoa; Chordata; Mammalia; Artiodactyla; Moschidae.